UAACAAUAAUAAUAUAAUAAUAAUAUAUAAUGUUUAAUAAUAAUAAUAAUAUAUUACGUUUAAUAAUAAUAAUAAUAUAAUAUAUAUAUAUAUAAUAUGAAAAGAAAGAAAGAAUCCAACGCAGCAGCAGCAACGAACCAAAUGAGGAGAAGGAAGGGAGGAAGAAGAAGGAGAAAGAAAGAAAAAAAAAAGAAAGAAAAAGAUUUAGCCGUCCGAUUCCAAUUCCGACUUGGGUGUACGUUGGAGGAGAUUUGGAUGAAGUUAUAAAAUCCAGAAAGUAUCGGUAGGAGGUACGCAUGGCACCUCCGGGACAGGGGACGUCUCGGGAGAUAGAAA
Molecule: long non-coding RNA, 336 nt
Organism: Andrographis paniculata
Lineage: Eukaryota; Viridiplantae; Streptophyta; Magnoliopsida; Lamiales; Acanthaceae
Exons: 3
Source: RefSeq, a predicted model, not a curated record